CGCUAUCUCAUGAGACUUAGCAAAAAUGUGCUCUGACACCAGUUUACGUAGAGCUUUCGUUCAGAUUGGAUGCUUCUCAAAACUGUCAGCUAAACUUAAUGUAAAAAGUGAACUAGUAAAUAUAAACAGAAACUCGCAGAAAUUCCUUAUUAUUCCGACAAUGGCUGACAUAAGGAUGAUGGCAGUUUUAACAGCUGCAAUAAGUAUAUUCUACUCCAUAAUCUUCAUGGCAAUCGAAUUUACCAAUGUGUUGGAUCAUUCCGUAAACGUGGUAAUCGUAAUGACAUGGUUUACAAUCUACCUUAUAAAUACGUUGAUAAAUUUUGGAAUGUUUGGAACGGCUUACAAUACAUUUAAGAAGGGCCGUUUAAUAUUUUGGUUUGGUUCCACGUUAUUUUAAUUAAUCAUUCGACUCGUGUGCACUAACUACACCCACUUGAGUAUGGUAGUUUUGUUAUUCACAAUUGUUGUAAAUAUUUAUAUGCUAUUUGUACUUUGGGUGUGUGUGUGCGACUAGUGUUAUUGAUAAAUAAAAUGGAUAAUCCAACUACAACAGACAUUAGGAGCAGCUUAACUUCCGUCGCAGUUAAUAAUGAAAUAAUAAGUGUGACUGCGGAUGAAACAAAUAUUGAAGAUCUAUCAGAUAAUCUUCGUUCUGCUAUAGGCCCAUAUCAUGACGACUUACAUAAUGGUGGUCGUGUUAUAAGCUCAAGUUCUAGCAACUUAAACAAUGAUUACGAAAUUAUCUUUGGUACAACCCCAACUUUGGAUAACUUAAACAACGAUUUUACUGAAUUAAACAAUCAUUCUUACAACCUGGCC
Long non-coding RNA from Drosophila albomicans, 822 nucleotides. RefSeq lists it as uncharacterized. NCBI's taxonomy places the organism in Eukaryota, Metazoa, Arthropoda, Insecta, Diptera, Drosophilidae. The record is from RefSeq and is a predicted model, not a curated record. The transcript has 3 exons.